Molecule: transfer RNA, 76 nt
Filed under: Lachnospiraceae bacterium
Lineage: Bacteria; Bacillati; Bacillota; Clostridia; Lachnospirales; Lachnospiraceae
Description: tRNA-Cys
Rfam family: tRNA
About the family: Transfer RNA (tRNA) molecules are approximately 80 nucleotides in length. Their secondary structure includes four short double-helical elements and three loops (D, anti-codon, and T loops).
Source: RNAcentral
GGCAGCGUACCCAAGUAUGGCUUAAGGGGCCUGACUGCAAAUCAGGUAUUCGCGGGUUCGAAUCCCGCCGCUGUCU